RNAcentral lists this ribosomal RNA (424 nucleotides) under uncultured bacterium. Its description in RNAcentral is "partial 16S ribosomal RNA". It matches the Rfam family "Bacterial small subunit ribosomal RNA", at positions 360 to 776 of the family's 1533-position model. The record is from RNAcentral.
AAUAUUGGACAAUGGGCGAAAGCCUGAUCCAGCCAUGCCGCGUGUGUGAAGAAGGUCUUCGGAUGGUAAGGCACCUUCAUUUGGGAGGAAGGACAGUAAGUUAAUACCUUGCUGUUUUGACGUUACCGACAGAAUAAUCACCGGCUAACUUCGUGCCAGCAGCCGCGGUAAUAUGAAGGGUGCAAGCGUUAAUCGGAAUUACUGGGCGUAAAGCGGGCGUAGGUGGUUUGUUAAGUUGGAAGUGAAAGCCCCGGGCUUAACCUGGGAAUUGCUUUCGAAACUGACGAGCUAGAGUACGGUAGAGGGUAGUGGAAUUUCCUGUGUAGCGGUGAAAUGCGUAGAUAUAGGAAGGAACAUCAGUGGCGAAGGCGACUACCUGGACUGAUACUGACACUGAGGUGCGAAAGCGUGGGGAGCAAACAGG